RNAcentral lists this small nucleolar RNA (81 nucleotides) under Capsella rubella. RNAcentral's name for it is "small nucleolar RNA snoR117". It matches the Rfam family "small nucleolar RNA snoR117". Lineage: Eukaryota; Viridiplantae; Streptophyta; Magnoliopsida; Brassicales; Brassicaceae. The record is from Rfam by way of RNAcentral.
AGCCUGUGAUGUUUGAGAUUGUCCGUACCAUCUGAGAUGAUUAAUUUUGUCCUUGACGAUAACCUCCACUUUCUGAGGCUU